RNAcentral lists this ribosomal RNA (484 nucleotides) under uncultured bacterium. Its description in RNAcentral is "bacterial SSU rRNA". It matches the Rfam family "Bacterial small subunit ribosomal RNA", at positions 8 to 518 of the family's 1533-position model. The record is from RNAcentral.
AGAGUUUGAUUAUGGCUCAGGAUGAACGCUGGCGGCGUGCCUAACACAUGCAAGUCGAGCGAUUCUCUUCGGAGAAGAGCGGCGGACGGGUGAGUAACGCGUGGGUAACCUGCCCUAUACACACGGAUAACGUACCGAAAGGUACGCUAAUACGAGAUAAUAUGCUUUAGUCGCAUGGCUGAAGUAUCAAAGCUCCGGCGGUAUAGGAUGGACCCGCGUCUGAUUAGCUAGUUGGUAAGGUAAUGGCUUACCAAGGCGACGAUCAGUAGCCGACCUGAGAGGGUGAUCGGCCACAUUGGAACUGAGACACGGUCCAAACUCCUACGGGAGGCAGCAGUGGGGAAUAUUGCACAAUGGGCGAAAGCCUGAUGCCAGCAACGCCGCGUGAGCGAUGAAGGCCUUCGGGUCGUAAAGCUCUGUCCUCAAGGAAGAUAAUGACGGUACUUGAGGAGGAAGCCCCGGCUAACUACGUGCCAGCCGCGGC